This 1505-nucleotide ribosomal RNA is filed under the name uncultured bacterium. RNAcentral's name for it is "bacterial SSU rRNA". It matches the Rfam family "Bacterial small subunit ribosomal RNA". The record is from RNAcentral.
AGAGUUUGAUCCUGGCUCAGGACGAACGCUGGCGGCGUGCCUUAUACAUGCAAGUCGAACGAGAAAGCGUCUUUCGGGAUGCGAGUAAAGUGGCGAACGGGUGAGUAACACGUAGGUAACCUACCUGUGAGAUGGGGAUAACCUGCCUAACGGCGGGCUAAUACCGAAUGAAGCACUGGGAGUAGAUUUCAGUGUUAAAGAUAUCCGUAAGGUUAUCGUUCACAGAUGGGCCUGCGGCUCAUUAGCUAGUUGGUGGGGUAACGGCUCACCAAGGCGACGAUGGGUAGCCGGCCUGAGAGGGUGGUCGGCCACACUGGGACUGAGAUACGGCCCAGACUCCUACGGGAGGCAGCAGUAGGGAAUAUUGCGCAAUGGUCGCAAGACUGACGCAGCAACGCCGCGUGGAUGAUGAAGCUCUAUGGAGUGUAAAGUCCUGUUAGAAGGGAAGAACAGUACGGAGUAAAAGCUUCGUAAUUGACGGUACCUUCAGAGAAAGCCCCGGCUAACUCCGUGCCAGCAGCCGCGGUAAUACGGGGGGGGCAAGCGUUGUCCGGAAUUACUGGGCGUAAAGGGCGCGUAGGUGGAAGUGUAAGUUAGGGGUGAAAGCUAGCAGCUUAACUGCUGGUCUGCCUUUAAUACUGCAUUUCUUGAGUGCGAAAGAGGGAAGCGGAAUUCUUGGUGUAGCGGUGAAAUGCGUAGAUAUCAAGAAGAACACCGGUAGCGUAGGCGGCUUCCUGGUUCGUAACUGACGCUGAGGCGCGAAAGUGUGGGGAGCAAACAGGAUUAGAUACCCUGGUAGUCCACACUGUAAACGAUGGAUACUAGGUGUUGGGUUUAAAGACUCAGUGCCGAAGUUAACGCAUUAAGUAUCCCGCCUGGGGAGUACGAUCGCAAGGUUGAAACUCAAAGGAAUUGACGGGGGCCCGCACAAGCGGUGGAGCAUGUGGUUUAAUUCGAUGCAACGCGAAGAACCUUACCGGGGUUUGAAAAGCAGUUGAAAGCCGUUGAAAGACGGCCGUCCUUCGGGACAACUGUACAGGUGCUGCAUGGCUGUCGUCAGCUCGUGCCGUGAGGUGUUGGGUUAAGUCCCGCAACGAGCGCAACCCUUGUCCUUAGUUGCUAUCAGGUUAAGCUGAGAACUCUAAGGAGACUGCCUCGGAUAACGAGGAGGAAGGUGGGGAUGACGUCAAGUCCUCAUGGCCCUUACAUCCCGGGCUACACACGUGCUACAAUGGCUAGUACAACGGGAAGCGAUACUGCGAAGUGGAGCAAAUCCCUUAAAACUGGUCUCAGUUCGGAUUGUAGUCUGCAACUCGACUACAUGAAGUUGGAAUCGCUAGUAAUCGCGGAUCAGCAUGCCGCGGUGAAUACGUUCCCGGGCCUUGUACACACCGCCCGUCACGCCAUGGAAGUUGAUAGCACCCGAAGUCGCCAGGCUAACCCGCAAGGGAGGCAGGUGCCGAAGGUGAGAUCAAUGACUGGGGCGAAGUCGUAACAAGGUAACC